Molecule: long non-coding RNA, 470 nt
Organism: Oxyura jamaicensis (ruddy duck)
Lineage: Eukaryota; Metazoa; Chordata; Aves; Anseriformes; Anatidae
Exons: 4
Source: RefSeq, a predicted model, not a curated record
CACCCACCACAAAAUGCUGCUGUUGGCUGGCGCUGUCUAAAGUGGUGAGGUUUCGUGAGGGAGGUGAGACUGCCAAAGGAAGGCAAGUGGGGGUGUCACAGUGAGUGGGACCCGGCCACCAGCGUGACUCUAGUCUACGGGACCUGUGAAAACUCAAGAUAGUUUCUGAACGCAGCCCACUGGAAGUGCUUGCCUCCGAAGAGUAAAAUCCUCCAAACCAUCUGCAGGGUGGUUUUGGCUUAAUUGUUUGUCCUACCUCUGUGAAACGAAAGUCAAAGCAAACAGUUAUCACAUGGGAAAAGGUCCAAAGGAGUUACACCAGGGAGAGGACUGAGGGACAGAUUCUCCUCUUUUCAGAGAGACAAAACACCAGGUGUCUUCAGCGAACAGGGCAAGUAGGAUUUGGCCCAACUGAAGGAACACAGGACUGGCUCCCAAAGGCUGAGCAGUACCUGUUCAUUGGGGCUGGA